CCCUGCAAGCCAACAUAAUCGUACAUUUAAAUACAACAAAAGUUAUCAUCUGUUAAAGGGACCAGAAGAAAGAAGGAGAAAAGAGCACAUGAACUACAAAUGUAAGUUUACCUGCGGUCACAAAGGACAAGGUCACCCCCAUCAAAGCAUAUGAAACAAACAUCUUCCUCUUUUUUCUUUCCUGUCUUUGUAUUUCUCACUCGCUUCCUCUUUCCUCCAACACCCUUAUUUUCUUCCUCGACGUCCUCUGCAUCUUCAUCCCCCGUCUCAGCCGUUACACUCUCAUCCUGUGUCGCUGUUAGUUCUGUCAUUUCUAUCUCUUCCUGACUUUCCUUCCCCUCCUCUAUAUCAGCUAAUGAGGAGUCUACAUGCGUUUCCGCAUCAGUCAUGUUUUCAUCUUUCUCCUCAUCCUCAUCUUCGGUCCUUGCCUCUGUUUCUUCUGACAUUUCAGAAGCUUUUGUUCCGUCUACUUUACCCUCAACAGUCUCCUCUUGUGUCUCUGUCAUUUCUGCCAUUCCCAUCUCCUCCUGUCUUUUCUUCUCCUCCUCAGUAUCAGCUACCGAUGAGUCUCCAAGAGUUUUCACAUCCAUCAUGUUUUCAUCUUUCUCCUGAUCCACAUCUACGGACCUUGUCUCUGUUUCUUCUGAUGCUUCAGCAACUUUUGUUCUGACUGCUUUACCCUCAACAGUCUCCUCAUGUGUCUCUGUCAUUUCUGCUAAUCCCAUCUCUUCCUGAAUUUCCUUCCCCUCCUCAAUAUCAGCCACCAAGGAGUUUGCAUGCUUAUAAUGCAUCAACCAAGUUGAAAGCUCAUAAACACGUGCAUAAUGCAAUAGAGCAAUUCUCCAGGAGAAAACAGAAUCAGUAAGUAUCAUUAAGCUUUCUAUGCUAAGUCCACAAAAUGUUUGAUGAGAGAAACGGUAAAAGCAAGCUCAUGCGGUACUUCACCAUGAUGAUCAGUUCUAUCAACAGAAAAUCACAAGAAGAAAAAAAUCAACAAGAAAGAAAAACUAAAAGUGUAAUCAAGCAUACCGGCUCCUUCUUUUCCUGCUCCUCUCUUUCUAGCAACUUGAUUGUCUCCAUGCACGUUUCACACAAACCCUUAUUGCCUCUUAUGCAAAAAAAGACAGCAUCCUUGGCGCAGCCCUUGCAUAAUGAAAACACACAUGUGUAACACAAGUAUGUCGCAGUUUUCUCACAUUUGCUACACUGGUGCCAUCCUAUUCAUGAAAAUGUAACAUUGUGUUAGGUUCUAGUAUAGACAUAGAAAUGGACCUUCAAAGAUUAAGCUUACUAAAUACAUACAUAUACAGAGAGGGGUAACAAACGAAAGUAUGACAAAUGACCACUCAAACAUUAUACUAUCUUGAAAGUGUAUGUGAUGUGUUCUAAUAUAUGAGGGAGCAUACUAAGAUACGGCACAGUGUUCUUUAGGCUCUUACAUCACAUUAGUGUCUGUUAUUUAUUAUCAUAUGUACCAAAAGUGAUUGUGAACCCAUUGCUAAAGACACGAAUCAUCAACAAAUCGGUACAAAGGGAAAAUAGCUUAGAGAGAACCAUUAGUCGAUGCCUAACAGAAAUGAAAAAUCAAUAUCUUUCUAGUUAUAUCAAAAGGUUCUCCUAACAAGUUUAAAUGGAUAGAAUUAUAGUGACGAUGUCACCACUACCAAAGUAUAUAAAAGCAUCAAUGCUAGUGUAUUUUCAAAAAAUAAUUACUUAAUAAACGACACAAGAGAUCCCACUGCUGCUACCGUUGACAACAGAGAAUCAACUAAAAGCCACCGUUGACAAGUUCUUGGGGAAUUUCAAAGACUACACAGCCUUGAUAGCAAUCAGACAUCCAUUUCACAAACAAAUUGCAUUUGCCUGUGAAGCAUUUGACAGUGGUACAAAAGGCUUGAGACUAAAGAGAGAUUCAAUAAGGAAAGACAUGAAAUGAAAUACGAUGUGCAAAGCAAAAGCAAUAGAAAAUAACUUUCAACUAAAAUUUCAACCUUAGAAUCUGAGAGGAGUAAAGGAAAAAAAGAUUUAGGAUAAAUGCAUACUAUUAGCCAGGAACUCAAACGAAAGAAGAAAGAAAAAUCUUGAAUUACCAAGAAAUUGCAAUAAAAAUCAUAAUCAGAAUGACAGAUAAAAAACAUAUACCAUUAUGAUUUCUAAAAAAGUAACAAUGUUAAAGACACUGUAUAUAACUAAGGUAAACAAUAUACAUACACCACUCAGAGAAAUUUUAGCAGAUUAUGUGUCAUGUUUUCCUGGACUAUAUUCACUGAUUAAAUAACAGAGAAAAACUUACCACAGUUCCAUUUACCCUUUGACCGGAAAAAAUCCUCGUCUUGAUUUACACAGGAAGGGUGGUAAGCUUUUGGGCAGCCCCUGCAAGCCAACAUAAUCGUACAUUUAAAUACAACAAAAGUUAUCAUCUGUUAAAGGGACCAGAAGAAAGAAGGAGAAAAGAGCACAUGAACUACAAAUGUAAGUUUACCUGCGGUCACAAAGGACAAGGUCACCCCCAUCAAAGCAUAUGAAACAAACAUCUUCCUCUUUUUUCUUUCCCGUCUUUGUAUUUCGCACCCGCUUCCUCUUUCCUCCAACACCCUUAUUUUCUUCCUCGACGUCCUCUG
RNAcentral lists this long non-coding RNA (2621 nucleotides) under Brassica napus (rape). RNAcentral's name for it is "long non-coding RNA (BNAP_LNC000156)". Lineage: Eukaryota; Viridiplantae; Streptophyta; Magnoliopsida; Brassicales; Brassicaceae. The record is from RNAcentral.